UGCAGCCGCCGCGGUACUACCGGCAGCCCGAGUGAUGGCCGAUCUUAUUGGGCCUAAAGCGUCCGUAGCUGGCUGCGCAAGUCCGUCGGGAAAUCCACUCGCUCAACGAGUGGGCGUCCGACGGAAACUGCACAGCUUGGGACCGGAAGGCUCGAAGGGUACGUUCGGGGUAGGAGUGAAAUCCCAUAAUCCCGCACGGACCACCGAUGGCGAAAGCACUUCGAGAAAACGGAUCCGACAGUGAGGGACGAAAGCCAGGGUCUCCAACCGGAUUAGAUACCCUGAGCC
This 288-nucleotide ribosomal RNA is filed under the name uncultured bacterium. RNAcentral's name for it is "partial 16S ribosomal RNA". It matches the Rfam family "Archaeal small subunit ribosomal RNA", at positions 457 to 746 of the family's 1478-position model. The record is from RNAcentral.